RNAcentral lists this ribosomal RNA (497 nucleotides) under uncultured bacterium. RNAcentral's name for it is "partial 16S ribosomal RNA". It matches the Rfam family "Bacterial small subunit ribosomal RNA", at positions 28 to 507 of the family's 1533-position model. The record is from RNAcentral.
GAUGAACGCUGGCGGCGUGCCUAAUACAUGCAAGUCGAGCGAACGGACGAGAAGCUUGCUUCUCUGAUGUUAGCGGCGGACGGGUGAGUAACACGUGGAUAACCUACCUAUAAGACUGGGAUAACUUCGGGAAACCGGAGCUAAUACCGGAUAAUAUUUUGAACCGCAUGGUUCAAAAGUGAAAGACGGUCUUGCUGUCACUUAUAGAUGGAUCCGCGCUGCAUUAGCUAGUUGGUAAGGUAACGGCUUACCAAGGCAACGAUGCAUAGCCGACCUGAGAGGGUGAUCGCCCACACUGGAACUGAGACACGGUCCAGACUCCUACGGGAGGCAGCAGUAGGGAAUCUUCCGCAAUGGGCGGAAGCCUGACGGAGCAACGCCGCGUGAGUGAUGAAGGUCUUCGGAUCGUAAAACUCUGUUAUUAGGGAAGAACAUAUGUGUAAGUAACUGUGCACAUCUUGACGGUACCUAAUCAGAAAGCCACGGCUAACUACGUG